GGCACCAUGGCUCAGUGGUAGAGUAUCUAGCUCGUCUAAAGUCGCUCAGCGCUUAAGACCACCACUAGAAGAUCGCUGGUUCGAUUCCAGCUGGUGCCA
Non-coding RNA from Elasticomyces elasticus, 99 nucleotides. The record is from the annotation of a GenBank genome assembly. Lineage: Eukaryota; Fungi; Ascomycota; Dothideomycetes; Mycosphaerellales; Teratosphaeriaceae.